AGGACGAACGCUGGCGGCGUGCUUAACACAUGCAAGUGGAGCGACGAACCAGGGCUUGCCCUGGGGCAGAGCCGCGAACGGGUGAGUAACACGUGGGUUACCUGCCUCGAUGACCGGGACAACCCGAGGAAACUUGUGCUAAUACCGAAUACGCCCUUACGGGGAAAGAUUUAUUGCCGAAGGAACGGCCCGCGUCCGAUUAGCUAGUUGGUGAGGUAAUGGCUCACCAAGGCUACGAUCGGUAGCUGGUCUGAGAGGAUGACCAGCAUCACUGGGACUGAGACACGGCCCAGACUCCUACGGGAGGCAGCAGUGGGGAAUAUUGGACAAUGGGCGCAAGCCUGAUCCAGCCAUGCCGCGUGGAUGAUGAAGGCCUUAGGGUUGUAAAGUCUUUUAACGGGAAGAUAAUGACGGUACCCGUAGAAUAAGCCCCGGCUAACUUCGUGCCAACAGCCGC
Molecule: ribosomal RNA, 457 nt
Filed under: uncultured bacterium
Lineage: Bacteria
Description: SSU rRNA
Rfam family: Bacterial small subunit ribosomal RNA
Source: RNAcentral